CCACGAAACAGCACAUCCCACCCCACAUCACUGGGAUACUGGUCCCAUAAUCCCCUUCCUCUCCAGCGGAAAUCCCAAUCCUCUCCCAGCUGGGCAGGGGGCUGGAAUUCUGCUGGAACCCAGCAAGGGCAGGGGAGGGACCAGCCCUGGGGACAUCCAGCUGGAAACCCACUGGGUUUGGGACAGGACGGAAUUUGUGCCACGGAAUUGCAAUGCAGGACCGAAUGGAACUGAAUGAAGGAAUUUAAACAAUA
Vidua macroura (Pin-tailed whydah) is the source of this 254-nucleotide long non-coding RNA. RefSeq lists it as uncharacterized. The record is from RefSeq and is a predicted model, not a curated record. The transcript is spliced from 2 exons. Lineage: Eukaryota; Metazoa; Chordata; Aves; Passeriformes; Viduidae.